GUGCUCGCUUCGGCACCACAUAUUCUAAAAUUGGAACGAUACAGAGAUUAGCAUGGCCCCUGCACAAGGAUGACACGUAAAUUCAUGAAGCGUUCCAUAUUUAA
Suncus etruscus (white-toothed pygmy shrew) is the source of this 104-nucleotide small nuclear RNA. Lineage: Eukaryota; Metazoa; Chordata; Mammalia; Eulipotyphla; Soricidae. The record is from RefSeq and is a predicted model, not a curated record.